AUGAACGCUGGCGGCGUGCCUAAUACAUGCAAGUCGAGCGAACAGACGAGGAGCUUGCUCCUCUGACGUUAGCGGCGGACGGGUGAGUAACACGUGGAUAACCUACCUAUAAGACUGGGAUAACUUCGGGAAACCGGAGCUAAUACCGGAUAAUAUAUUGAACCGCAUGGUUCAAUAGUGAAAGACGGUUUUGCUGUCACUUAUAGAUGGAUCCGCGCCGCAUUAGCUAGUUGGUAAGGUAACGGCUUACCAAGGCAACGAUGCGUAGCCGACCUGAGAGGGUGAUCGGCCACACUGGAACUGAGACACGGUCCAGACUCCUACGGGAGGCAGCAGUAGGGAAUCUUCCGCAAUGGGCGAAAGCCUGACGGAGCAACGCCGCGUGAGUAUGAAGGUCUUCGGAUCGUAAAACUCUGUUAUUAGGGAAGAACAAAUGUGUAAGUAACUAUGCACGUCUUGACGGUACCUAAUCAGAAAGCCACGGCUAACUACGU
Molecule: ribosomal RNA, 494 nt
Filed under: uncultured bacterium
Lineage: Bacteria
Description: partial 16S ribosomal RNA
Rfam family: Bacterial small subunit ribosomal RNA
Source: RNAcentral